UACGUAGGGUGCAAGCGUUAAUCGGAAUUACUGGGCGUAAAGGGUUCGUAGGUGGCCAACUCAGUCAGACGUGAAAUCCCUCAGCUCAACUGGGGAACUGCGUCUGAUACUAGUUGGCUUGAGUGCAGGAGAGGAACGCGGAAUUCCAGGUGUAGCGGUGAAAUGCGUAGAUAUCUGGAGGAACACCGGUGGCGAAGGCGGCGUUCUGGACUGCAACUGACACUGAGGAACGAAAGCCAGGGGAGCAAACGGG
This 253-nucleotide ribosomal RNA is filed under the name uncultured prokaryote. Its description in RNAcentral is "partial 16S ribosomal RNA". It matches the Rfam family "Bacterial small subunit ribosomal RNA", at positions 524 to 776 of the family's 1533-position model. The record is from RNAcentral.